AGUGAACGCUGGCGGUAGGCCUAACACAUUCAAGUCGAACGGCAGCACAGGAAAGCUUGCUCUCUGGGUGGCGAGUGGCGGACGGGUGAGGAAUACAUCGGAAUCUACUCUGUCGUGGGGGAUAACGUAGGGAAACUUACGCUAAUACCGCAUACGACCUACGGGUGAAAGCAGGGGAUCUUCGGACCUUGCGCGAUUGAAUGAGCCGAUGUCGGAUUAGCUAGUUGGCGGGGUAAAGGCCCACCAAGGCGACGAUCCGUAGCUGGUCUGAGAGGAUGAUCAGCCACACUGGAACUGAGACACGGUCCAGACUCCUACGGGAGGCAGCAGUGGGGGAUAUUGGACAAUGGGCGCAAGCCUGAUCCAGCCAUACCGCGUGGGUGAAGAAGGCCUUCGGGUUGUAAAGCCCUUUUGUUGGGAAAGAAAUCCAGCUGGCUAAUACCCGGUUGGGAUGACGGUACCCAAAGAAUAAGCACCGGCUAACUUCGUGCCAGCCGCCGCGGUAA
This 506-nucleotide ribosomal RNA is filed under the name uncultured bacterium. Its description in RNAcentral is "partial 16S ribosomal RNA". It matches the Rfam family "Bacterial small subunit ribosomal RNA", at positions 29 to 523 of the family's 1533-position model. The record is from RNAcentral.